This is an RNA transcript of Helianthus annuus (common sunflower), 1553 nucleotides long. RefSeq lists it as uncharacterized. The record is from RefSeq and is a predicted model, not a curated record. The transcript has 5 exons. Lineage: Eukaryota; Viridiplantae; Streptophyta; Magnoliopsida; Asterales; Asteraceae.
AAUUGAAAUAAAAACACAUGCAAUGUGAAAUAUAAAUUUCGAUGAUGAUGAACCCUAAUUAUUGCAAUCGCGAAGUCAAAGAGCUUGAAUUUGAAGCCAUGGCUAAAGCUUAAAAGGGUGAUUCAUAUAUAUAACAUCAAAAUGGAGAAGUCAAAGAGCUUGAAUUUUAAGCCAUGGCUGAAGCUUCAAAGGGUGAUUCAAAUAACAUCAAAAGUACCACACAAAAAGCUUCGUAACCUGCGCCAUUUCUCAGCCACCGAAACCCGCCACUUCUAUGAAUCUGUAGUCAUCUCACCAUUUGCCGUUUUCCAUCCUUGAACCUGAACCAUCCUCAAUACCUUUUAAAUGUUUGAUGACAAGGAAGCUUGUGAUUUAUCAGAUUUGGAUUUUUAUGAACUCAAUAUUGAAGAACCUGAUUAGAUAAAGACACUAGGUUGAUGAUCCAUUGACGAUCGCACAAACAUUUAAUAUCGUGUGCCUCUGAGUUUUACAACAAUUAGUAUGUUUUCAGUGGUUUUAGACCAUAGUCUUCUUGAACUACAAUGGCUUUGUUUAUGUUGGGUUCUAGUUAUCUACACAUACACCCGAAGUUUCUACAUUCGAAUGCUACUUCUUACAAAUGGCCAUUUGGUGGUAUGUUGAACUUAACUUGGUAUAUUUUUAUUUGACUGGAAGUUUAACAUGUCUAAUGAAUUCUGUUAAUUUUCAUCCCUUGCUGAAAUUGAGGAGAGACUUGCUAUGGCAGAAUCGAUGUUGGAGGCUACCUUGCAGUACCAAUUUGGCCAACAUAAGGCACCGCCUUCCCCAAGAUAAUGGGCUUCCUAACAAAAGAAAAGGCACCCUGCAAGCACUCUGGGUAUAACCCUACUCCAGAUUCAGAUGCCAAGAGGUGGUGUCGUUGUCACCCAAGAUCUUGCUUGAAUCAGAUCAAUGCGCAUGUGUGAUCUGUAACCAAGGGUUCCAAGGAGAUCAAAUCUACAGAUGCAUCUGAGAGACGACACAAGAUGACAUGGAAGUUGCUGAAACAGAUUUAACCGAGAUCAAGAAGAGGGUGUCCGUGUGUCCGGAACUGAGUUUUAUGGUGACAUGGAAGUUUUUUUUUUGUUCCUUUAGGUUUCUGCAUAUCAUUUUUUUUUGUUUCUAUAGUUCAAAUUUGUAAUAUGUUAUUAAUGAAGUUCAAUUUGUAGGUGCUUGAUGGACAUAAUGGGGCAACAAUAGCUAUAUAAACCAAGAAGAAUCUUUUGAACAAUGAUUGAGCUCAUGUGAACAAGAUCAAAGGAGUUUUGAUUGGCCGAGACAAAAAGGAGCACGGCCGAAAUGAAAGUAGGGAGACUCUUUUAGAGAAUGGGAGGAGGUUAUGUUGUUGAAAGUAUUGCUAGGCGUGAUGCAGGUUGAGACAAAAGUUCUUUUGUUACAAGUGUUGUAGGUUAUGUUGCAAUUAUCAUUUGUACAUAACUUUUGAUUAGUAGUUUAUGUAUUUAGUAUUAAAAUUAAAAUUGAAAACUUAUGUAUGGAUUUUUGUUUCUUAUUGUUAAUAUAAUUAAUUUUAUUUU